CCUACGGGAGGCAGCAGUGAGGAAUCUUGGUCAAUGGGCGCGAGCCUGAACCAGCCAAGCCGCGUGAGGGAAGACGGUCCUAUGGAUUGUAAACUUCUUUUGUCGGGGAGCAAAAGACGCUACGUGUGGCGUUCCGAGAGUACCCGAAGAAAAAGCAUCGGCUAACUCCGUUCCAGCGCCCGCGGUACUACGGAGGAUGCGAGCGUUGCCCGGAUUUAUUGGGUUUAACGGGGGCGCAGGCGGAAGAUCAAGUCAGCGGUAAAGUUGAGAGGCUCAACCUCUUCGAGCCGUUGAAACUGGUUUGCUUGAGUGAGUGAGAGGUAUGCGGAAUGCGUGGUGUAGCGGUGAAAUGCAUAGAGAUCACGCAGAACUCCGAUGGCGAAGGCAGCAUACCGGCGCUCAACUGACGCUCAUGCACGAAAGUGUGGGUAUCGAACAGGAUUAGAUACCCUGGUAGUC
This 459-nucleotide ribosomal RNA is filed under the name uncultured bacterium. RNAcentral's name for it is "partial 16S ribosomal RNA". It matches the Rfam family "Bacterial small subunit ribosomal RNA", at positions 338 to 795 of the family's 1533-position model. The record is from RNAcentral.